GAAAGAUGAAAAGCACUUUGAAAAGAGAGUUAAAAAGUACGUGAAAUUGUUGAAAGGGAAGCGUUUAUGACCAGACUUGGGCUUGGUUAAUCAUCUGGGGUUCUCCCCAGUGCACUUUUCCAGUCCAGGCCAGCAUCAGUUUUCCCCGGGGGAUAAAGGCGGCGGGAAUGUGGCUCUCUUCGGGGAGUGUUAUAGCCCACCGUGUAAUACCCUGGGGGGGACUGAGGUUCGCGCAUCUGCAAGGAUGCUGGCGUAAUGGUCAUCAACGACCCGUCUUGAAACACGG
Molecule: non-coding RNA, 286 nt
Filed under: Fusarium oxysporum f. sp. lycopersici 4287
Lineage: Eukaryota; Fungi; Ascomycota; Sordariomycetes; Hypocreales; Nectriaceae
Description: Fusarium oxysporum f. sp. lycopersici eukaryotic large subunit ribosomal RNA
Rfam family: Eukaryotic large subunit ribosomal RNA
Source: Rfam by way of RNAcentral